Molecule: ribosomal RNA, 170 nt
Filed under: uncultured bacterium
Lineage: Bacteria
Description: partial 16S ribosomal RNA
Rfam family: Bacterial small subunit ribosomal RNA
Source: RNAcentral
UUGCUAGUAAUCGUAGGUCAGCAUACUACGGUGAAUACGUUCCCGGGCCUUGUACACACCGCCCGUCAAACCAUGAGAGUUGGCAACACCCGAAGUCGGUAGUCUAACCGCAAGGAGGACGCCGCCGAAGGUGGGGGUUGAUGAUUAGGGUUAAGUCGUAACAAGGUAAC